RNAcentral lists this ribosomal RNA (254 nucleotides) under uncultured bacterium. RNAcentral's name for it is "partial 16S ribosomal RNA". It matches the Rfam family "Bacterial small subunit ribosomal RNA", at positions 524 to 776 of the family's 1533-position model. The record is from RNAcentral.
UACGGGGGGGGCAAGCGUUGUUCGGAAUUACUGGGCGUAAAGGGCUCGUAGGCGGCCAACUAAGUCAGACGUGAAAUCCCUCGGCUUAACCGGGGAACUGCGUCUGAUACUGGAUGGCUUGAGUUUGGGAGAGGGAUGCGGAAUUCCAGGUGUAGCGGUGAAAUGCGUAGAUAUCUGGAGGAACACCGGUGGCGAAGGCGGCAUCCUGGACCAACACUGACGCUGAGUGAGCGAAAGCCAGGGGAGCGAACAGG